ACAUUGCUUCUUCCCCCUCUUCUGUGAUCAGAAGAGGGGGAUAUCCAUCUCUGCUUCCCUUCUGAAUCCCUCGUCCCAGUCCCUCCCAGCCCAACCAGUUCCUUCAGGCUCUCCAUGCCACCGGAGACAAGCUACAUCUUGGGAUUAAAGAGGCCAUAGAAAUGCAAAGCGUGGUUACACAGGUGGAAGGGGGAACCUCUCCAGGUGGCUUCACGGUGGAGGGAGCUGUGGUGUUCAGCCCCAGGGCUGUGCUUUGCCCUGAUUUUCUCACCGCCCCCACCGAGCGCAUCCGUGCCACCAAAUGCAUCCUCCACUGCAGAAUGAGGCCUUACUCCGGAGAAGGCUUCCACAUGCUGGCAGGCCAGGCUGAGCAAUGAAAAGAGCGUGGGAUUUAUCCUUGUUCUGCUAA
This is a long non-coding RNA of Cygnus olor (mute swan), 409 nucleotides long. RefSeq lists it as uncharacterized. NCBI's taxonomy places the organism in Eukaryota, Metazoa, Chordata, Aves, Anseriformes, Anatidae. The transcript is spliced from 3 exons. The record is from RefSeq and is a predicted model, not a curated record.